RNAcentral lists this long non-coding RNA (209 nucleotides) under Setaria italica (foxtail millet). RNAcentral's name for it is "long non-coding RNA (SITA_LNC001399)". The record is from RNAcentral. Lineage: Eukaryota; Viridiplantae; Streptophyta; Magnoliopsida; Poales; Poaceae.
GGGGCAUGGAACAUGUGGAGAACAUCCUAACCGAAAACAAAGACGAGGGGAGCCAUGAGAGCCUCAGGCCGAUCGGCCUGGGUACCAUAGGCCGAUCAGCCUAGGGGUUUCCUCCCUCCUCUUGAGGUCCCCUUCGACGCCGGAGCUCUUGAUCAAAUCUAAAUCUUAUUCCUUCUCUUGUGGCGGCGGUGGAAUGUGAUGAAUGGCCU